CCAGCAUGGCCCAGAAGGUAGCUCAAGAUCAGACUGCAAUUUCUGUGAUGGAGAAGGAGGCUGUGACUUUUAACUGUACAUAUGAAAUCAGUGAUGAUAUUUAUUACUUAUUCUGGUACAAACAACCACCACGUGGGAAACCAACUUUCCUUAUUCGUCAGGACUCUUACAAUGAGCAAAAUGCAAUGGAGGGUCGCUAUUCCCUCAACUUCCAGAAGGCAUCCAGUUCCAUCCAGCUCACCAUCAAAGCUUCACAGCUCAUGGAUGCAGCAGUGUAUUUCUGUGCCCUGAAAGAGGCCACAGUGAGAGGGCUGCCUGUGGGAGUCCCACAAAAACCUCAAGGAGAGCUAGGGCCUCUGGGGGGAGACUCUACCACAGAAAGGGAGGAGCAGGGGCUGUGUCAGAAUAGGUGGGGGUUUGACAAGGAAACCUGA
Ictidomys tridecemlineatus (thirteen-lined ground squirrel) is the source of this 434-nucleotide non-coding RNA. Lineage: Eukaryota; Metazoa; Chordata; Mammalia; Rodentia; Sciuridae. The record is from the annotation of a RefSeq genome assembly.